Non-coding RNA from Fundulus heteroclitus (mummichog), 507 nucleotides. The record is from the annotation of a RefSeq genome assembly. Lineage: Eukaryota; Metazoa; Chordata; Actinopteri; Cyprinodontiformes; Fundulidae.
GCAAAGUUUGCGCUGCUUCCACCUUUACAUGUCUGUGAGAGAGUUCAAGACCUGCAGUAAAUCAGAGACAAAGACACGUCCAGACUGAGCAGAGACAAAUGGCUUCUACAAUGAUCAGACCUCAUCAGGUUGUGAUCGCUUUCCUCAUCCUGGCAGUUAACUGGACCGGUGCUGAUGGUCAAACACUGACUGAGUCAGAAUCAGUGGUUAAAAGGCCUGGAGAAUCCCACAGACUGACCUGCACAUAUUCUGGGUUUAGUAGCACUCCUGACAUUAGCUGGAUCAGACAGCCAGCUGGAAAAAGACUGGAGUGGAUUGCUUAUAUCAGCAGUGGCAGUGGCAGCAUUUACUACUCUGACUCAGUGAGAAACCGGUUCACCACCUCCAGAGAGAACAGCAGAAAUCAGGUGUAUCUGCAGAUGAACAGCCUGACAGCUGAGGAUUCUGCUGUUUAUUAUUGUGCUCGAGAGCCACAGUGACACAGGAAGCAGAAACACUGUACAAAAA